CAUUAGUCCUCAGUUUCCUCAUCUGAAAAGUGGGAUGAUAGCCAUGGAAUUAAUCUCUUUUUAGUCCUCACCGGGGUCCCCCAGCGCUGGUCAUUCACACUCUCCAGGGACCGAUCAUCACUGACUGAACAUGGCUGGUGGUAAUGGCAGCAUGAUGGUCCUCAGAGUUUUCCUCCCACUGAGUUGGUUUACUGCCCAGAGCCUGGUGAACGCCCAGUUGACCCCUGCCUCAAGCCGGACCCAGGUACGUCUGGCUACGAGGAGGCUGGCAGCGGGUGGAUCCCCCUGACGGCUGGGGUGGGGGCAGAGGGGAACAUCUCUCUGAUGCCCAGUCUUCCCUCAGGCUUGCCACAGUUUUCACUGCAGAGGGGAGAUGUGCUAUCAGGGA
Molecule: long non-coding RNA, 388 nt
Filed under: Monodelphis domestica (gray short-tailed opossum)
Lineage: Eukaryota; Metazoa; Chordata; Mammalia; Didelphimorphia; Didelphidae
Description: lncRNA (ENSMODG00000045713.1)
Source: RNAcentral